AGAGAGAGACAUGCGCGCAUAUCAAUAAGCGGAGGAAAAGAAACUAACAAGGAUUCCCUUAGUAACGGCGAGUGAAGCGGGAAGAGCUCAAAUUUGAAAUCUUCAAGGUUUUACCUUGACGAAUUGUAGUUUAAAGAAGUGUUUUCUGCUGAAGUUUUGGUAAAAGUUCUUUGGAAUAGGACAUCAUAGAGGGUGAGAAUCCCGUAUUUGACCAUUAUUUUCAGCUUUGUGAUACACUUUCAAAGAGUCGGAUUGUUUGGGAAUGCAGUCCAAAAUGGGUGGUAAAUUUCAUCUAAAGCUAAAUAUUGGCGAGAGACCGAUAGCGAACAAGUACCGUGAGGGAAAGAUGAAAAGAACUUUGAAAAGAGAGUUAAACAGUACGUGAAAUUGUCAAAAGGGAAGCGUUUGACACCAGUGUUGUUUUCUCGAAAAUCAAUUAAAAAUGGCUCGAUUUUGUAUUGUUGAGACCUUAAAAGCUCACUGUACAUUUUUCGUGUCUUUUUUAAUGCACUUUUCGUUUAACAAGUCAACAUCAGUUUCUUUUGUUGUAAAAGGGUCAUUGGAAGGUGGCUUUCUUUUCGGGAGAAAGUGUUUAUAGCCUUUGGCCUCUGCAAUCGGAGAGACUGAGGUCUGCAGCGUAUACUCUUCGGGGUUAGAUACAUUUGUGCUAAGUUAUAGCUUUUUAUAGACAACUUGUUGACUAUAAUUAGUCUUGUAGCUUACUCCGCUUAUGCUAUUUUACCUACGCUUAGGAUGUUGAAGAUGUAGCACAUCAU
This 776-nucleotide ribosomal RNA is filed under the name uncultured Neocallimastigales. RNAcentral's name for it is "partial large subunit ribosomal RNA". It matches the Rfam family "Eukaryotic large subunit ribosomal RNA", at positions 23 to 634 of the family's 3401-position model. Lineage: Eukaryota; Fungi; Neocallimastigomycota; Neocallimastigomycetes; Neocallimastigales. The record is from RNAcentral.